This 253-nucleotide ribosomal RNA is filed under the name uncultured bacterium. RNAcentral's name for it is "partial 16S ribosomal RNA". It matches the Rfam family "Bacterial small subunit ribosomal RNA", at positions 524 to 776 of the family's 1533-position model. The record is from RNAcentral.
UACGUAGGGGGCUAGCGUUGUCCGGAUUUAUUGGGCGUAAAGAGCGUGUAGGCGGCCAGGUAGGUCUGCUGUGAAAACUCGAGGCUCAACCUCGAGACGUCGGCGGAAACCAUCUGGCUAGAGUCCGGAAGAGGAGAGUGGAAUUCCUGGUGUAGCGGCGAAAUGCGCAGAUACCAGGAAGAACACCCGUGGCGAAGGCGGCUCUCUGGGACGGUACUGACGCUGAGACGCGAAAGCGUGGGGAGCGAACAGG